Molecule: long non-coding RNA, 254 nt
Organism: Epinephelus moara (kelp grouper)
Lineage: Eukaryota; Metazoa; Chordata; Actinopteri; Perciformes; Serranidae
Exons: 2
Source: RefSeq, a predicted model, not a curated record
CCUUUGAGUGCCUCAGAUGCAUUUUUGGACUGCCUGCCUAUACCAUGGACUUUUACAGGUUUCUCCAGCUGGAUUUGCUCCUCUUCCUCCUUAACGUUGCCCACAUCCUGGUACGGGCCAUGUGCCUGGGACCGCUCGAUCUGAUCAUAUGUGGACCAACACUCAUCCAGAUUCAGCCCCUGGUGUGUGAGAUAAGGGAGACAGAAAUUGAGUACACACGCAAAAAUCAAUUAAACAUACUCAUGUGAAAUCGA